AGUGAACGCUGGCGGUAGGCCUAACACAUGCAAGUCGAACGGCAGCACAGUAAGAGCUUGCUCUUACGGGUGGCGAGUGGCGGACGGGUGAGGAAUACAUCGGAAUCUACUUUUUCGUGGGGGAUAACGUAGGGAAACUUGCGCUAAUACCGCAUACGACGUACGGGUGAAAGCAGUGGAUCUUCGGACCUUGCGCGAUUGAAUGAGCCGAUGUCGGAUUAGCUAGUUGGCGGGGUAAAUGCCCAGCAAGGCGACGAUCCGUAGCUGGUCUGAGAGGAUGAUCAGCCACACUGGAACUGAGACACGGUCCAGACUACUACGGGAGGCAGCAGUGGGGAAUAUUGGACAAUGGGGGCAAGCCUGGUCCAGCCAUACCGCGUGGGUGAAGAAGGCCUUCGGGUUGUAAAGACCUUUUGUUGGGAAAGAAAAGCAGCAGGUUAAUACCCCGCUGUUCUGACGGUACCCAAAGAAUAAGCACCGGCUAACUUCGUG
RNAcentral lists this ribosomal RNA (492 nucleotides) under uncultured bacterium. RNAcentral's name for it is "partial 16S ribosomal RNA". It matches the Rfam family "Bacterial small subunit ribosomal RNA", at positions 29 to 507 of the family's 1533-position model. The record is from RNAcentral.